UCUCUAGAAUCCCAGCAUGGUGUACUGCCGUUGUAAGCAUACCUUUAAAAGAAUAAGUAUGCCACUAUGAUUAAACCCACCUCAUAUACAUCAGGUCAAAGUGCAGCCCAUAAGAAGGUGAUGAUGGGUUACAACCCUAAAAAAGACUAUCAACUAAGACAUAAAAAAUCCUACGAAAGUGGACUUGGCCGUAAUUAAUUUACAGAUUAAAAAAAUGAAUUAAAAUCUAAGACAUGCACACAUCGCCCGUCACUCUACCCUAAAGGUUAGAUAAGUCGUAACAAAGUAGGUGUAAUGGAAAUUGCACCUGUCGGAGUAUAGCAUACAUAAUGCUUUUUACUUACACUAAAAAUAAAGUUCUUAACUUACCCCGCCCACAUGAUAAUAUCCUCUAAAAUGUAAUAAAAUGAAAACAAUUAUAUAUGUCAAUUAACUAAUAAAGUACAGAAAUGGAAAAAAUAAUAAAUAAAAGUAAAUCUUAAUAAGUGUACCUUGUGCAUUAUGGUUUUACAAGAAAACAAUUAAAAAUUUUAAUCCCGAAUUCUAAGUGAGAUGUUAAACUACUGUUAGCGAACCCAUUAAUAGCUGUAGAAUAAGCUUUAAAAGAUAGUUUAACAGAGGCUACAUACCAUACGCACAAGAAUAUAGCUGGUUUUUAACAAAAAUUAUACAUUAAAACAUAUAGUUGUAUUAUAGUGUAAUAUUACUAAGGAUAAGCCUAGUAAUUUAAGCAAUUAAAUUAACAAAUCUAUUACCUAUUUUAGGCCUAAAAUCAGCCAACUAAAUUACUUCACCGUAAUCAAUAAAGAUAAAAUACAUGAUAUGACAUGCUAAAGAAAGUUAAAAUUACGGAUAAAUUAAUUUGUUACGUAUAUACUAUGUAAAAAUAAGUAUUAUUAAACUAAAAUAACUAUCAACCUGGCAAGUGACAACACAUAAAACAGUAAUAAUUAAUUAAGGAACUCGGCAAAUAAUUAUUUCGACUGUUUAACAAAAACAUUGUCUCAUGAAUAAAAUAUGAGAU
This 1024-nucleotide ribosomal RNA is filed under the name Amynthas carnosus carnosus. RNAcentral describes it as "partial 12S ribosomal RNA". The record is from RNAcentral. Lineage: Eukaryota; Metazoa; Annelida; Clitellata; Crassiclitellata; Megascolecidae.